GUGCUUGCUUCGGCAGCACAUAUACUAAAACUGAAAUGAUACAGAGAUGAUUAGCAUGGCCCCUGCACAAGGAUUACAUGCAAAUUUGUGAAGUGUUCUGUAUUUCU
Molecule: small nuclear RNA, 107 nt
Organism: Macaca fascicularis (crab-eating macaque)
Lineage: Eukaryota; Metazoa; Chordata; Mammalia; Primates; Cercopithecidae
Source: Ensembl